This 250-nucleotide ribosomal RNA is filed under the name uncultured bacterium. RNAcentral describes it as "partial 16S ribosomal RNA". It matches the Rfam family "Bacterial small subunit ribosomal RNA", at positions 524 to 773 of the family's 1533-position model. The record is from RNAcentral.
UACGAAGGGGGCUAGCGUUGUUCGGAAUUACUGGGCGUAAAGCGCACGUAGGCGGAUUGUUAAGUCAGAGGUGAAAUCCCGGAGCUCAACUUCGGAACUGCCUUUGAUACUGGCAAUCUAGAGUCCGGAAGAGGUUAGUGGAAUUCCCAGUGUAGAGGUGAAAUUCGUAGAUAUUGGGAAGAACACCAGUGGCGAAGGCGGCUAACUGGUCCGGUACUGACGCUGAGGUGCGAAAGCGUGGGGAGCAAAC